AUCAAGACCUCAGUUACUUAGUACUUGAACACACAUGAUUAGCAAUUCAAUAUGUUAAGCAGUUUGGACUCAAGGACUUACCUGCCUCACAUCAGACAUUUGCUGAGAAUGUCUUCCAAUUCUUGUUGUUUGGGCUAUCUUUUGCAUUUCAAUGCCAAGGGAAUAUCAUAAGGAAGUGUGGUAUACGUCUAUGAUGGCAUAUGUCACCCUAUGGCUAUGAUAGUUGGGAACAGGGACAUGGCUGAGGGGUUCAGCUUAGAGAUAGUUUUCUUGCUCUGCUAGGGAUUCACUGUGUCCCUAGAACUGUUUGUCCUCAGACUUCUGUUUUAGACUAAGUAUAGUUUUCCUUGCACUAUGUCCUCAUAUAUGAAAGUUUACUUGUGUUUAUCUGCCUACAGAGUUUGCUCAGAAGGCAUCAUGCCAGCGCUCCUUGACCCCUGAGGAGGAGGAGAGGAUGAACAGUUUGGAGAAGCUAAGAAUUGCUCUCCACAAGAUGCAAAAGGAGAGAGAUGAACUCCAGAGAAUCCUGUCUUCUUACCCAAGGAAUGACCAAACUACAGCCAGGCUAUGGUAAAGGGAGCUCCUAUUGGAAGAUGCUGUUCACUUUGAAGCCAUCGGGAAACAGCGAGCCAGAGGAUGGAACAGACUCCUCCACCAACACCCCGUGGUCUACUGCCUGGAAUCAAGCCUACUGUGCACAGCCUUGGGACCUUGGUCUUCAAUUCUCCAUCAGAAGCUUGGUAGUGCACAGACCAGGACUACAUCUCUCUGUGAUAGAACUGUCCACCAGGAGCAUUCUCAGGAGAUAA
RNAcentral lists this long non-coding RNA (809 nucleotides) under Rattus norvegicus (Norway rat). RNAcentral describes it as "long non-coding RNA NONRATT032055". Lineage: Eukaryota; Metazoa; Chordata; Mammalia; Rodentia; Muridae. The record is from RNAcentral.